This 434-nucleotide ribosomal RNA is filed under the name uncultured Lachnospiraceae bacterium. Its description in RNAcentral is "bacterial SSU rRNA". It matches the Rfam family "Bacterial small subunit ribosomal RNA", at positions 341 to 792 of the family's 1533-position model. Lineage: Bacteria; Bacillati; Bacillota; Clostridia; Lachnospirales; Lachnospiraceae. The record is from RNAcentral.
ACGGAAGGCAGCAGUGAGGGAUAUUGCACAAUGGGGGAAACCCUGAUGCAGCGACGCCGCGUGAGUGAAGAAGUAUUUCGGUAUGUAAAGCUCUAUCAGCAGGGAAGAAAAUGACGGUACCUGACUAAGAAGCCCUGGCUAACUACGUGCCAGCAGCCGCGGUAAUACGUAGGGGGCAAGCGUUAUCCGGAUUUACUGGGUGUAAAGGGAGCGUAGACGGUAUGGCAAGUCUGGUGUGAAAACCCGGGGCUCAACCCCGGGAUUGCAUUGGAAACUGUCAAACUAGAGUGCAGGAGAGGUAAGUGGAAUUCCUAGUGUAGCGGUGAAAUGCGUAGAUAUUAGGAGGAACACCAGUGGCGAAGGCGGCUUACUGGACGAUAACUGACGUUGAGGCUCGAAAGCGUGGGGAGCAAACAGGAUUAGAUACCCUGGUA